UACGGGAGGCAGCAGUGGGGAAUCUUGCACAAUGGAGGAAACUCUGAUGCAGCGAUGCCGCGUGAGUGAAGAAGGCUUUUGGGUUGUAAAGCUCUUUCGUCGGGGAAGAAAAUGACUGUACCCGAAUAAGAAGGUCCGGCUAACUUCGUGCCAGCAGCCGCGGUAAUAC
This 169-nucleotide ribosomal RNA is filed under the name uncultured bacterium. RNAcentral describes it as "partial 16S ribosomal RNA". It matches the Rfam family "Bacterial small subunit ribosomal RNA", at positions 340 to 526 of the family's 1533-position model. The record is from RNAcentral.